GUGCGUGUCAAAGAGAGAUGCAUAAGGCAUCCCAAUUGAAUUCAAAAAAAUCUUGGUUUUGCCAUGUGGUAAGACCAUUCAAAUCUAAAUUGAAGAGGUGUGAUAAGCAGAUAAGAAGCACCUCCUUCUACCCAAAGCAAAAGGACUCUUCAAGUGCCUCUUCGUGUGAUCUGCUGAUCACCCGCACGCACUAAUGGAAGAGGGAUUAUUUUGG
Molecule: long non-coding RNA, 214 nt
Filed under: Elaeis guineensis (African oil palm)
Lineage: Eukaryota; Viridiplantae; Streptophyta; Magnoliopsida; Arecales; Arecaceae
Description: long non-coding RNA (EGUI_LNC047537)
Source: RNAcentral